Molecule: ribosomal RNA, 740 nt
Filed under: uncultured bacterium
Lineage: Bacteria
Description: bacterial SSU rRNA
Rfam family: Bacterial small subunit ribosomal RNA
Source: RNAcentral
ACCGGCGCACGGGUGAGUAACGCGUAUCCAACCUUCCCGCAAGUAAGGGAUAACCCGUAGAAAUGCGGCCUAAUACCUUAUGACUUUCCUUAGAGGACAUCUGAUGAGGAACAAAGAUCCGUCGGCUUGGGGAUGGGGAUGCGUCUGAUUAGCUUAGUCGGCGGGGUAACGGCCCACCGAGACGACGAUCAGUAGGGGUUCUGAGAGGAAAGUCCCCCACAUUGGAACUGAGACACGGUCCAAACUCCUACGGGAGGCAGCAGUGAGGAAUAUUGGUCAAUGGGCGAGAAGCCUGAACCAGCCAAGUAGCGUGCAGGACGACGGCCCUAUGGGUUGUAAACUGCUUUUAUGCGGGAAUAAAGUGAGCCACGUGAGGCCUUUUGCAGGUACCGCAUGAAUAAGGACCGGCUAAUUCCGUGCCAGCAGCCGCGGUAAUACGGAAGGUCCGGGCGUUAUCCGGAUUUAUUGGGUUUAAAGGGAGCGCAGGCCGCAGAUCAAGCGUGUUGUGAAAUGCAGACGCUCAACGUCUGCACUGCAGCGCGAACUGCCCACCUUGAGUGCGCGCAACGUUGGCGGAAUUCGCCGUGUAGCGGUGAAAUGCUUAGAUAUGGCGAAGAACUCCGAUUGCGAAGGCAGCUGACUGGAGCGUAACUGACGCUCAUGCUCGAAAGUGCGGGUAUCGAACAGGAUUAGAUACCCUGGUAGUCCGCACGGUAAACGAUGGAUGCCCGCUAUUCGGC